GGGGAAUAUUGGACAAUGGGGGCAACCCUGAUCCAGCAAUGCCGCGUGUGUGAAGAAGGCCUGAGGGUUGUAAAGCACUUUCAGUGGGGAGGAGGAUUGAUAGGUUAAGAGCUAAUUGAUUGGACGUUACCCACAGAAGAAGCACCGGCUAACUCCGUGCCAGCAGCCGCGGUAAUACGGAGGGUGCAAGCGUUAAUCGGAAUUACUGGGCGUAAAGCGUGCGUAGGUGGUUAAUUAAGUUAUCUGUGAAAUCCCUGGGCUUAACCUGGGCAGGUCAGAUGAUACUGGUUGACUCGAGUAUGGGAGAGGGUAGUGGAAUUUCCGGUGUAGCGGUGAAAUGCGUAGAGAUCGGAAGGAACACCAGUGGCGAAGGCGGCUACCUGGCCUAAUACUGACACUGAGGCACGAAAGCGUGGGGAGCAAACAGGA
This 429-nucleotide ribosomal RNA is filed under the name uncultured Legionella sp. RNAcentral's name for it is "bacterial SSU rRNA". It matches the Rfam family "Bacterial small subunit ribosomal RNA", at positions 356 to 777 of the family's 1533-position model. The record is from RNAcentral. Lineage: Bacteria; Pseudomonadati; Pseudomonadota; Gammaproteobacteria; Legionellales; Legionellaceae.